UACAGCCAUAUCACAUUGAGACACUGUUUCCAUACUAUCACCAAAGUUAAGCAGCAUUAAGCCUGGUCAGUAUCUAGAUGGGCGACCACUUGGGAAUACUAGGUGCUGUAA
Non-coding RNA from Acanthosepion pharaonis, 111 nucleotides. The record is from the annotation of a GenBank genome assembly. NCBI's taxonomy places the organism in Eukaryota, Metazoa, Mollusca, Cephalopoda, Sepiida, Sepiidae.